GGGAGCUUGCUCCUUGAUUCAGCGGCGGACGGGUGAGUAAUGCCUAGGAAUCUGCCUGGUAGUGGGGGACAACGUUUCGAAAGGAACGCUAAUACCGCAUACGUCCUACGGGAGAAAGCAGGGGACCUUCGGGCCUUGCGCUAUCAGAUGAGCCUAGGUCGGAUUAGCUAGUUGGUGAGGUAAUGGCUCACCAAGGCGACGAUCCGUAACUGGUCUGAGAGGAUGAUCAGUCACACUGGAACUGAGACACGGUCCAGACUCCUACGGGAGGCAGCAGUGGGGAAUAUUGGACAAUGGGCGAAAGCCUGAUCCAGCCAUGCCGCGUGUGUGAAGAAGGUCUUCGGAUUGUAAAGCACUUUAAGUUGGGAGGAAGGGCAGUAAGUUAAUACCUUGCUGUUUUGACGUUACCGACAGAAUAAGCACCGGCUAACUCUGUGCCAGCAGCCGCGGUAAUACAGAGGGUGCAAGCGUUAAUCGGAAUUACUGGGCGUAAAGCGCGCGUAGGUGGUUCGUUAAGUUGGAUGUGAAAGCCCCGGGCUCAACCUGGGAACUGCAUCCAAAACUGGCGAGCUAGAGUACGGUA
This 583-nucleotide ribosomal RNA is filed under the name Pseudomonas sp. RNAcentral's name for it is "bacterial SSU rRNA". It matches the Rfam family "Bacterial small subunit ribosomal RNA", at positions 74 to 653 of the family's 1533-position model. The record is from RNAcentral. Lineage: Bacteria; Pseudomonadati; Pseudomonadota; Gammaproteobacteria; Pseudomonadales; Pseudomonadaceae.